Bubalus bubalis (water buffalo) is the source of this 562-nucleotide long non-coding RNA. RefSeq lists it as uncharacterized. The record is from RefSeq and is a predicted model, not a curated record. NCBI's taxonomy places the organism in Eukaryota, Metazoa, Chordata, Mammalia, Artiodactyla, Bovidae. The transcript is spliced from 2 exons.
AGGUAAGGAGCAAUGGCUGUGCUUUGCUGGAGCAGCCGUGAAGAGAUACCCCACGCCCAAGAAAUAAGAAGAUCGAGACCCAGAGAGGAAAGGCUUUUGCCCACAUCCCACAGAGAGAAGGUUCCUAAGCUGGAUCAAGAUCUUAGCUUGACUAACUUCAUUGCUAAAAAAGUCCCAAACUCCUUCCAUUGUAGACCUUAGGUACUGUGUGAGAUGCUGAAGAUAUAUAAAUGGCCCCAGACCCUGGGAAGUUUUUUGGAGGAACGGAAGCAAUGCAGAACAAUGCUAGGAAGAGAAGAAAUAUGUGGACAUGCAUUUCUUGGUUGCUGAAAAUUUUGGUGGAAAAGGAGAGGAAAGAUGGAGUUAGCUGAGCCAAGCUUCCUGGAGAAAGGGAGCUUUGGGUCCCAGUUUGGGAUGAAAGCAUAAAGUCUUGUAUCUGUCACUGUGCCUGUAUGUAUGAGUUUCAUCUUUUAUAGAAUUGUCUGUAUUGGGUAUGCUCACAGUCUAUAUGGGAUGAUAAUCAUUUUCCUCAUUUGGUAAUAAACAUGAGUAACUGUGAAGC